Oncorhynchus gorbuscha (pink salmon) is the source of this 4721-nucleotide long non-coding RNA. RefSeq lists it as uncharacterized. The record is from RefSeq and is a predicted model, not a curated record. NCBI's taxonomy places the organism in Eukaryota, Metazoa, Chordata, Actinopteri, Salmoniformes, Salmonidae. The transcript has 3 exons.
UUCAAAUAUUUAGACAGGUUUGCUGAAAAUAAAUGCAGUUGACAGUGAGAGGAUGUUUUUUUUUUUUUUUUUGCUGAGUUCAUUUUAGUAAAAAUGUAGAUACAUAAUCAGCCUACAUGUCAAAGUGUAAUCUAGGUGAUAUGGCUACAGCCUCUCAUGUCCACACCGAUGCUAACAUGAGGGAGGCGCUAGAAAAUGUAACCAAACUUUAAUGAGACUGCUAAUUACAUAAAUACAGUGCCUUCAGUAGUAGUUACACCCAUUGACUUUUUCCAAAUUUUGUCUUGUUACAGCCUGAAUUUAAAUUGGUUUAGUGCGAUUUAUGGUAAGAAACUAACCAAUCUUUAAAUAUAUUAGUUAGUUGGGCUAGGCGUGCCGCUAGCGCCCCACCUCGACAACAUCCGGUGAAUUUGCAGAGAGCGAAAUUCAAAAUACAACAUUCGUAAUAUUAAUCAUUCAUGAAAAUACAAGUGUCAUAUAUCAUUUAAAAGCUUAACUUCUUGGUUAUCCAGCCACUUUGUCAGGUUUCAAAAAGGCUUUACGGCGAAAGCAUACCAUGCGAUUAACUGAGGACAGCGCCCCGCGUACAAAGGCGUCACAAGUCAGAAAUAGUGAUAAAAUAAAUCACUUACCUUUGAAGAUCCUCCUCUGUUUUAAAUUCCAAGGGUCCCAGCUACAUAACAAAUGGUCCCUUUGUUCGAAAAAGUGCUUUAUAUCCCAAAAAAGUCAGUUUAGUUGGCGCGCUUGAUUCAGUAAUCCACCGGUUUCCCUAGUUCAAAAUGCAUACAAAUGAAUUCCAAAAGUUACCAAUAAACUUUGUCCAAACAAGUCAAACAAUGUUUCUAAUCAGUCCUCAGGUACCGUAAUUAUGUAAAUAAAAGAUACAAUUUAAGAUGGAGAAUAGUAUGUUCAUUACUGGAGAUAAAUAAAUAACAAAGUUCGCGCCACAAUACUACAGCCAAAAUGGGAGUCACCUAGAAAAACUAGCUUGAAACUCUUUCUAAAGACUGUUGACAUCUACUGGAAGCCCUAGGAACUGCAAUCUGGAAGGUAUUCCAAUGAGUGGUGAGCUCCAAAAACAAAAAUCUGCAUGGAUUCUCCUUGGGUUUUUGCCUGCUAUAUAAGUUCUGUUAUACUCACAGACAUUAUUUUAACAGUUUUGGAAACUUUAUAGUGUUUCUAUCCAAUACUACCAAUUAUAUGCAGAUUCUAGCUUCUGGGCCUGAGUAACAAGCAGUUUGGGCACCUCAGUCAUCCAAACUUCUGAAUACUGCCCCCCCUAUCCCUAAGAAGCUAGCUAGGCUUACAGGUUAGUUGGCUAGAUUGAUGAUUUGAUGCCAAUUAGCAUGCUAGCUAGAUAGGUAGCUAGCCGGCUAUUGGCAAUACCAAUAACCAGAGACAUAUAUUGUAUGUAUUGAAUAUCUCUUUGAGCAAGGUGAGGUUAUUAAUUAAUCAUUUUGAUGAUGUAUCAAUACACCCAAUCACUACAAAGAUACAGGCGGCCUUCCUAACUCAGUUGCCGGAAAGUAAGGAAACUGCUCAGGGAUUUCACUGAGACCAAAGGUGACUUCAAAACAGUUAGAGUUUAAUGUCUGUGAUAGGAGAACUGACAUUGUAGUUACUCCAUAAUAUUAACCUAAAUUACUGAGUGAAAAGGAAGCUUGUACAGAACAAAAAUAUUCCAAAACAUGUAUCCCGUUUCCAGGAUACAAAGGCACUAAUACAAAGUGUUAUGUUUGGGGCAAAUCAACAGAUCACUGAUAUUUUCAAACAUGGUGGUGGCUGUAUCAUGUUAUUAGUGUGCUUGUCAUCGGCAAGGACUAGGCAGGUUUUUUAAGAUAAAAAUAAAUGGAAUAGAGCUAAGAGCAGGCAAAAUCUUAGAGGAAAACUUGAUUCAGUCUCCUUUCCAACAUAUACUGGGAGACACAUUCAUCUUUCAGCAGGAAAAAAUCUAAAACAUAAGGCCAAAUAUACACUGGUUGCUUACCAAGACAACAUUGAAUGUGGCCUAAUUUUGACCUAAAUUGGAAUGACAAUAUAUGGCAAGACUUAAAUGGCUUGAUCAAUGAUCAACCAACUUGACCGAGCAUGAAGAAUUUUUUAAAUAAUAAUGUGUAAAUAUUGUACAAUCCAGGUGUACAAAGCUCUUAGACUUACUCAGAAAGACACAGCUGUAAUCACUUCCAAAGGUGAUUCUAACAUGCAUUGACUCAGGGGUGUGAAUACUUAUGUAAUUGAUGUUACAGGUUUAGUUUUUUUGGUUUAUAUUUCGAGGUAAUAACUUACCACGAAGGGCGCACCGAUUGGUGUAAGUACACUACAUAACUAAAAGUAUGUUAUGCAGUGCAGCUCUAGCAGGGCAGAAAUUUGACAAACUAACUUGUUGGAAAGGUUGCAUCAUAUGACUACCACGUUGAAAGUCACUGAGCUCUUCAGUAUGGGCCAUUCUACUGCCAAUGUUUGUCUAUGGAGAUUGCAUGGCGGUGUGCUCAAUUUUAUACAUACAUGGUUGAAAUAGCCAAAUCCUCUAAUUUGAAACGGUGUCGACAUAGACCACUCUUAUAGAACGAGUGCAAGGAAACAGACAACUAAGAGAAAGGACAUUGUGACAUCUUGUGGAAAAUCAGAGACUUACACCUGAGGAUGAAAGACCAGGCCAUCUGAAGUGGGCCCAACAGAGAUACCCAAUGGAGACCUUCAACAUGUAAAUACAUGCAUUGCACUUCUUACCCAUAAGAACGGCAGUUCGGGGCAAGGUAUUAGGGCUAAACUAAGCGUAGUUUACAAAUUUAUCCAAGUCUCUCUCUCUCUCAAAACACGUGUCAUAAUGUGUUGGUCCGCUAGGGACCUGUUGUCAUUGUAUUAAGUUCUAAGCAAUAACCUAGACUGUGUGUAUCUUAUGUUAUCAUUUAGCUUGUUAGUAAAUAAAUAAUCAACUCAAUUUGUGUGGAAUGGAAUGAUUAGUGAGACCCGGGUUUGUGGAGAUUUAGUGAGACCCAGGAAAUUUAGUAAGACCUGGGUGAGACCCGGGUUUGUGGAGAGUCUACAACUUUCAGAAUGAGAAUGAUUUGAGGAAAUGAUUGAUUGUCUGUUAUGAUAUCGAGAUAUUCGGGUAUACUCUUGAGUUAAUUCGGGAAACAGUAACUCAUUUAACAAACUUUUCCCGUGGUGCCCCAAGUUACUAAUUAGUUCAUUGUUACAUUAUUAAUUUAAUUGUGUAAUAAUUAAACAUAGUUAAUUAUUCUAAAAAUAGCAUGUCAUCACAUGAAUGAUAGUCACGUCACGACAAGCCUGAUUUCAAAAUUGAUUAAAUAGUUGUUUUUUCACCAUCUACCUCACCCCUAUGGAGGACCAAGACGGCCAAAAUCAAAAAUAAAUAAAUAAACAAGUAUAUAUAUGCACAUAAAUGUAAAAAAAAGAAUAUACACGGAAAUAAAUCAACACAAUUUGAUAUAAAUGAGUACUUUUGCAUUUACUUAUUUUUCCAAAAUAUCUAUUUUCCUAAUGAUGAAUUUCUGUAUUUAUUUAUUUCCCUAUUUAUUUCCUUGACCAUUUAUUCCUGUAUUUAUUUAUUUUCCUAUUUAUUUAUUUUUGCCAACUUUUAUUUAUUUAUGUAUUUCUGUCACUGUGAGCAUGUCUACACGACGAGUGUCGGUGUCUGAGCUUCUUCGAGAGGAGGCUGAUCGUCUUGAAGAAAUAGAGCACUCAAGUUCAUCUGGAACCUCAUCGGGCACUUCAGGGGGUCAAGUAGGCCUACACCCUGUUGAUGGACGUCUGUGAAAACCUCCUACAUUGUGCGCACGACCCAGAAUACCCUGGAAGCCUACCGCUACAUUGACUGUGGUUCCAACUCCACGGUUCACCAGUCCCCAAACCUCCCUCCCCCACCCACUACAGUCACCACCAGCCACAGUGAUGAGUGACAGGGUCACAGGGACCAUUGGUGCUCGCCAAGGUGCUGGUAGCCAGACCACAAGAACCAAUUCACUCCGAGCAUUUGUUUCGACUGCAGGAUUAUUAGGCUUGGUCACUUGCCUACGUAAAUGCAUAAAACAUUAGCUCAUCAGUAAAUUAUAUUUUCAGCUGUUGUGUAUUUGACUGAUGUUCAGGGUAUGACUAAUUUACAGGCUCCUGUAGCUUCAACAUCCUUGAUUUUAGGAGUUAAUUAGUUAACCUUGACUUGAUCAUAGUAACUGGUGUUACUACUGAAUUAUGACUGUAUCCUGCUGUGCUAGUCGUUUUAUUUGUAACAUUGAGAGCAUCCUUUAAAAUUUUAGGAAGGUCCUUUAGCGUGGGUUCAUGUGAUUUAAGGUGCUUGGCAUAGUAACAAUGUAUAAAGCGACUGACAUUGUAUUGCGCAAGAAGGGAGAUUUGUUCUUUGCAAUUUAUAUGGGGGACAUGACAAGACUAGUUGAGGGAUGUGCUUAAGGCACAUAUAUUGACUCCAAUGCUUCCCACAGUUGUGUCAAGUUGGCUGGUUGUCCUUUGGGUUGUGGACCAUUGUUGAUGCACACGGGACACUGUUGAGUGUGAAAAACCCUGCAGCGUUCUAGUUUUUGACACAAACUAUUACGCCUUGCACCUACUACCAGCCUGCUCAAAGGCAUUUAAAAAUGUUGUCUUGCCCAUUCACCCCCAAGCCAUAAGACUCCUGAACAUCUAGUCAAAUGGCUACCCGAACUAUUUGCAUUGCCCCCCCUCCCAUUCCCUCUCCACACCAC